This 408-nucleotide long non-coding RNA is filed under the name Bos indicus x Bos taurus (hybrid cattle). RNAcentral describes it as "lncRNA (ENSBIXG00000003314.1)". The record is from RNAcentral. Lineage: Eukaryota; Metazoa; Chordata; Mammalia; Artiodactyla; Bovidae.
CUGUGUGAGUGUUUCCCACAGAGCGAGGGUGGCAUCUGCCUAGCUGGAGGGCUGGCAGCACACUGAAUCUGCCUGCAGUGGAUUCUGAAACAUAGAAUUGUGGCUAGUGGGAUGUCAAACAGGAUGAGACUGAGAGCUGCUUGCCGUGAUGGAGAUUUCAGUUGUCAGCCUUGAGACCACGGGGCUCAGGAGGGAUGGAGAUUACGGAACCUGCCAUCACAAGAAGGACAAACGAACAGCGGAACAAGGGGGGCAUCCAGAUUGUCUGAGGAAGAGGAGCAAUCAGGGACACAGCCGAGGUCCAGCCCCGGGAGGAAGUGUCAGCAGAAAUCACAGCCAGCCCUUGAGCGUGCACUUUAUCUCUUUCCUAUUCAUGAUCUCAUUCUACCACAUGUGAAGGUGGAGUCG